Helianthus annuus (common sunflower) is the source of this 3829-nucleotide RNA transcript. It is a transcript of the gene named probable splicing factor 3A subunit 1, with no coding region annotated. The record is from RefSeq and is a predicted model, not a curated record. Lineage: Eukaryota; Viridiplantae; Streptophyta; Magnoliopsida; Asterales; Asteraceae. The transcript is spliced from 6 exons.
CAUGUUUUUUUGGGAUGGGCUGGUGGAGGCCAUCUUCGCCAUAUUGGCUCGUUUGCGUCUCUAUUAUGUUAGGAUAUGAUGAGUAAUAAUCUGUGAUGGUCGGGUCGGUCUCAACAAAUAUAAAGUCACAUACGGACUUGAAUUCCCCCAAGAUUAAAACGAAACCCCAAUUCGCUCCGACGAUCAUCGAAACUCGCUGCGAUUUUUCGAUAUCAGAUACUGAAGCAGAAAAUGCCGUCUCCGUCCCAAGUUGAAAAUGAGUCGGGUGGUCAAAUUAAGGCAGAUUCAUCAAUCCGGAUUAUAACUCCUCCCCCCGACAUCAGAAUCUUGGUGGACAAAGCCACAAGGUUUGUGGCAUCAGUGAAACCUCGGCUCAAGAAAUUCAUUGCUAUGAAUGCUGGAAUGCGCAAAUAUACUUUUCUGAAUGCUGCAGAUCCAUAUCAUGCCUAUUACCAGCACCGGCUGUCUGAGUUCCGUGCUCAAAAUGGGUCCAAUGAGAAACGUAGGCUCACACAGUUUACUUGUAAAAACACGGCUGUUAUUGAAUGGAUCCUGAAGAGGUCUGACAGCCGAGCGGAAAGUUUUGCGGUGUCUGAUACUGUUCUUGUUUCACCGAUUACUGGUGAGUUGGUUAAAUGUAGUGGCAUGUAUGAACAUAUUCGGGACCCUAAGUAUAAAGCAGAGAAGGAGACACUGUUUGCCAAGAUUAGGGAGAUUACACUUGCCCAAGAUGAGGUUAUUUCCAGAAGUAUUUUGGAGGUUGCUCAGAUACGUCCUGAUAGUUUUGGGACCACAGAGGAAGAGGUUUGUUACGCAGUCAAGGCGGAGAUUGAAAGGACAUACCCUCAGUUGUUUUCGGAUCAGCCUGGACCAAAGAAGCGACGGCUUGAUAACUCUUUGCUUGUCCCUGAGGAUAAAUUCUUGUCUCAACAUCCGGGACCUGCUUGUAUCGGUGUGUGGAGGGAAGAUAAAGAGGAAAUGCUGGAAAUAAGUGUGGAGUCGUUGUCUGAGAGUGUAAGCAGUAUGAAAGAGAAGAUUGCUGGACAGAUUGAGGAGGCCCCUCCUGCAAACAAACUGAAACUGAGGGGGGAUGAAGGUUUUCUCAAAGACUCCUUAUCUCUUGCUUAUUACAACGUUGCUCGAGAUGUAUUGCUUUUUCUAGAGUGGUGACCGCAACAUUGCAUUGAAUGAAUCAUCAAACUCCCUCUCUCAACCAUUGCACUGUUGUGGCCAUUGUAGGAGCGCCAUUGCUGUCCCACAUCGUUAUUUACAAGUGAUAUAUCCAGACAGAUAGUACAUACGCCUUCCUGUUGUAACUCAUAAUCCCAAAUCUUUUGACUUGUCCCUGGUCUUUCGGAAUCACAUUCUAAUUCAUAAUGGUUGUUGACAACUUGGUAAGGGGUUUAAAUUCCUUCCAAUGUAAUGUCUUCUUUUCAUUCACCCGUUCCACUCAAAGGUUAAUAUUGCUUUUGCCCCGUUCACAUAACCGAUCAACUUGGCAUUGCGUGGAGCAUUGCUUCCCAACAUUCACUCAAAAAUAUCUUAUCUUGGUUAGAGUUAUUGGAUAGGAGUGUCUCUAACCACCUCAAUCUCUCGAAUUGCGAUUUUCGUAAGCUAGCGUCAGAAUAAACUGAGAUUGCACAUGUGAUCACUUGUCUAUAAACGUAGAUAAAAACAAGCACCUCUCAUCCACAAGCUCAAAAUUCUUUAAAAUAUUUUGAUUUGCGGCUAAAAGAAUCACAUUCUAAUUCAUAAUGGUUGUCUACAACUUGGGAAGGGGUUUUAAUUCCUUCCAAUAUAAUGUCUUCUUUUCAUUCAGUAUACAUAAAAUGUAGUUAACAUGAGAGCAAUGUUUUCAAAACCGGACCGGGCCGGCCGGGACCCGUAACCUUCUCCGGGCCGGUUCACACACAUAGCCGCUAUCAACAUUGGGCCGCCGAUCGGGCCGGGAACCGGCGGGUCUACGCAAAGAAUCGAGCCGGUUUGGCUUUUUUUUUUAAUAAUGGGAUAUUAUAAUGAAAACCUAAUCUAAUCUCAAAACAAAAAACACGCCGCUGUGCUCGCUGUGCUCUCUUCGGCUCUUCCUGUGUGCGACUGUGCUCUCCAAUCUCCAUCAUCAGCCUUCAACCUUCAUCUUCAAUUCAAGAUUUCAGAGUAUGGAUUCACAAGAAGAAGAGGAAACUAAUCCCCAUUCCGAGUCGACCGCCCACUCAAAUGUUCGGCCGAAGACGGAUAUCACAUGGAAAUAUGUUACCGAAGCUCAAGAUGAACUUGGUAAAAAGAUGCGUAUUUGUACAUUUUGCAACAAGUCAUUUCGUGGAGGGGGCAUUAACCGAAUGAAACAACACCUUGGUGGAGUUAAAGGAAAUAUAGCUGCGUGUUUAAAGGUUCCAGCGGAUGUAAGGUGUCAAAUGAAAAUUUUGUUUGAAGAGUCGCAAAAAGGUAAAAAUACAGUUUCAGAGACUGAGACGGGUAGCACGCUAAAAACAAAAAGUCUUGGUAAAAGGAAAGCUUCUUCAACGUCCGACAACGCACAAUCGUAUUUCUCAAGAGGUAUAAAUGAUCUUACUCGACCUUCAAUUAGAUCUGUAUGACAAAGUAAGGAAAUAGUUCAUGAUACAGAUUUAGCUGUAGCCAUGUGGCUAUAUGAUGCAUGCAUACCUAUGAAUGCCGUAAAUUCUCCCCUUUUUUUCCAAUUGCAAUGCGUAAAGUAGCUUCCAUGGGGCAUGGAUAUACGGGACCUUCCUACCAUCAAGUUCGUGUAAAUUUGUUGAAAGAUGCUAAGCAAUCUGUGAAACUUAUAGUUGAUUCUUAUAGAGAGCAAUGGGCUGAAAGAGGUUGCCCUAUAAUGAGUGAUGGAUGGAGAGACGUUAGACAAAGAGCUCUAAUUAAUUUUUUUGUUUAUUGUCCAACGGGGAUUUCAUUCAUCAAAUAUGUUGAUGCUUCUGAUAUUGAGAGUAAUGCUGAAGGUUUAUGCAAUUUGUUUAGUGAAAUUGUUGAGAUUGUUGGUUUCAAGAAUAUUGUUCACUUGGUCACUGAUAAUGCUGCAUACAACUUGAAGGAUGUUUCAGAAAUGGAAGAUGCGUCUACUUUGAUACAACUUGCAUCACAAAUUACAGUUUUCAUCUACAACCACAAGUGGCCUCUAAAUUGGUUGAGAAAAAGACCUGGUUGGACAGAAAUUAUCCGUCCUGGGCCACCCGAUUUGGCACAUCAUUCAUUGCAUUGAAGAGUUUACAUGAUCAUAAGCAUGAUUUGCAAGCUUUAGUAACCUCUCUUGAUUUCAAAAAAGAUGUUGAAAGUGUCUAAAGCUAAUGAUGUGAAAGACACUAUCUUAGAUCCUAAGUUUUGGAAUAAUUGUUUUAUAACGGUUCAGGUGACGACUCCAAUCUUGAGACUUUUGCGUAUCUGUGAUUCCGAUGAAAAGCCUUCAUUAGGCUACGUUUAUGAAGGUAUACUUAGGAUAAGGAAAGGAAUCAAAGAGUUGUUUAAAAGGAAAAGACGUAACUAUAAGAGGUAUGUUGAUAUCAUUGAUGCUCGUUGGGAUAAGAUGUUACGCAAAAGUCUUCAUGCAGCAGCUUAUUGGCUAAAUCCAAUAUUUCAAUAUGAAAAAGAUAAUCGUGAAGAAAAGGAUAAGGCAUGGUUAGGGGUGCUUGAUAUGAUUGAGAAGUUAACGAGUUUAGAUAAUAGUGUGCAAAUAACUAUUUCACACUUGGCAAAAUUUCGGGAUAAAGUAGGUACUUUUGGUCGAUCUAUUGCUUUGAAUUCCGUGGAGCUUGAGCGUCCCGAUGUGUGGUGGAAAGCGUUCGGUGGAGAUGUACCGUUGUUG